GUUCUUGUAGUUGAAUAACAACGAUGAUUUUUCAUAUCAUUAGUCGUGGCUAAUUUCCAUGCAAGAAUA
Molecule: transfer RNA, 69 nt
Filed under: Mazama rufina (Ecuador red brocket)
Lineage: Eukaryota; Metazoa; Chordata; Mammalia; Artiodactyla; Cervidae
Description: tRNA-Glu
Source: RNAcentral